GACGAACGCUGGCGGCGUGCUUAACACAUGCAAGUCGAACGGAAAGGCCCUGCUUUUGUGGGGUGCUCGAGUGGCGAACGGGUGAGUAACACGUGAGUAACCUGCCCUUGACUUUGGGAUAACUUCAGGAAACUGGGGCUAAUACCGGAUAGGAGCUCCUGCUGCAUGGUGGGGGUUGGAAAGUUUCGGCGGUUGGGGAUGGACUCGCGGCUUAUCAGCUUGUUGGUGGGGUAGUGGCUUACCAAGGCUUUGACGGGUAGCCGGCCUGAGAGGGUGACCAGCCACAUCGGGACUGAGAUACGGCCCAGACUCCUACGGGAGGCAGCAGUGGGGAAUAUUGCACAAUGGGCGGAAGCCUGAUGCAGCAACGCCGCGUGCGGGAUGACGGCCUUCGGGUUGUAAACCGCUUUCGCCUGUGACGAAGCGUGAGUGACGGUAAUGGGUAAAGAAGCACCGGCUAACUACGUG
RNAcentral lists this ribosomal RNA (468 nucleotides) under uncultured bacterium. Its description in RNAcentral is "partial 16S ribosomal RNA". It matches the Rfam family "Bacterial small subunit ribosomal RNA", at positions 28 to 507 of the family's 1533-position model. The record is from RNAcentral.